UACGUAGGGUGCGAGCGUUGUCCGGAAUUACUGGGCGUAAAGAGCUCGUAGGUGGUUUGUCGCGUCGUCUGUGAAAUUCCGGGGCUUAACCUCGGGCGUGCAGGCGAUACGGGCAAUACUUGAGUGCUGUAGGGGAGACUGGAAUUCCUGGUGUAGCGGUGAAAUGCGCAGAUAUCAGGAGGAACACCGAUGGCGAAGGCAGGUCUCUGGGCCACUACUGACGCUGAGAAGCGAAAGCAUGGGGAGCGAACAGGAUUAGA
RNAcentral lists this ribosomal RNA (260 nucleotides) under uncultured prokaryote. Its description in RNAcentral is "partial 16S ribosomal RNA". It matches the Rfam family "Bacterial small subunit ribosomal RNA", at positions 524 to 782 of the family's 1533-position model. The record is from RNAcentral.